UAAUCUAGCCUCACAAAAAUAAUUCUGACAUAUUCUCCAGUUUUCAUAAUUUUCUGACACUGUGCAUUUUCUGCUAAAAUAUCAGCCCCGUUCUUUACAAAAAAUUCUAAAUUUUCUGUUUUCACUCUAAUUUCCGCACAAAUCAUUUUCGACUUAUAUUUUACUCCUCGGAAUCCAAUAAAAAUUUUAUUUUACACUAUUUUUAUUUACAUCUAUUUUUAUAUUAAAAUUCCGGUAUAUUACAGUUGUUGAUACCUUUCCAUAUGCAAUCUGUAUGUUGAUUUCUGUUCCUGGUUGGAACAUCGUGAAUUGUAUUGAUUGUGACGCCUAGGACGUACAGGGAAAACUCUGUCCAUUCGG
Molecule: long non-coding RNA, 360 nt
Filed under: Ananas comosus (pineapple)
Lineage: Eukaryota; Viridiplantae; Streptophyta; Magnoliopsida; Poales; Bromeliaceae
Description: long non-coding RNA (ACOM_LNC034688)
Source: RNAcentral